UUGCACAAUGGGCGCAAGCCUGAUGCAGCGACGCCGCGUGAGGGAUGACGGCCUUCGGGUUGUAAACCUCUUUCAGUAGGGAAGAAGCGAAAGUGACGGUACCUGCAGAAGAAGCGCCGGCUAACUACGUGCCAGCAGCCGCGGUAAUACGUAGGGCGCAAGCGUUAUCCGGAAUUAUUGGGCGUAAAGAGCUCGUAGGCGGUUUGUCGCGUCUGCUGUGAAAGACCGGGGCUCAACUCCGGUUCUGCAGUGGGUACGGGCAGACUAGAGUGCAGUAGGGGAGACUGGAAUUCCUGGUGUAGCGGUGAAAUGCGCAGAUAUCAGGAGGAACACCGAUGGCGAAGGCAGGUCUCUGGGCUGUAACUGACGCUGAGGAGCGAAAGCAUGGGGAGCGAACAGGAUUAGAUACCCUGGUAGUCCAUGCCGUAAACGUUGGGCACUAGGUGUGGGGGACAUUCCACGUUUUCCGCGCCGUAGCUAACGCAUUAAGUGCCCCGCCUGGGGAGUACGGCCGCAAGGCUAAAACUCAAAGGAAUUGACGGGGGCCCGCACAAGCGGCGGAGCAUGCGGAUUAAUUCGAUGCAACGCGAAGAACCUUACCAAGGCUUGACAUGAACCGGUAAUACCUGGAAACAGGUGCCCCGCUUGCGGUCGGUUUACAGGUGGUGCAUGGUUGUCGUCAGCUCGUGUCGUGAGAUGUUGGGUUAAGUCCCGCAACGAGCGCAACCCUCGUUCUAUGUUGCCAGCGCGUUAUGGCGGGGACUCAUAGGAGACUGCCGGGGUCAACUCGGAGGAAGGUGGGGACGACGUCAAAUCAUCAUGCCCCUUAUGUCUUGGGCUUCACGCAUGCUACAAUGGCCGGUACAAAGGGUUGCGAUACUGUGAGGUGGAGCUAAUCCCAAAAAGCCGGUCUCAGUUCGGAUUGGGGUCUGCAACUCGACCCCAUGAAGUCGGAGUCGCUAGUAAUCGCAGAUCAGCAACGCUGCGGUGAAUACGUUCCCGGGCCUUGUACACACCGCCCGUCAAGUCACGAAAGUUGGUAACACCCGAAGCCGGUGGCCU
Molecule: ribosomal RNA, 1062 nt
Filed under: Arthrobacter sp.
Lineage: Bacteria; Bacillati; Actinomycetota; Actinomycetes; Micrococcales; Micrococcaceae
Description: bacterial SSU rRNA
Rfam family: Bacterial small subunit ribosomal RNA
Source: RNAcentral